UACGAAGGGGGCUAGCGUUGUUCGGAUUUACUGGGCGUAAAGCGCACGUAGGCGGCUCGUUAAGUCGGGGGUGAAAUCCUGGAGCUCAACUCCAGAACUGCCUUCGAUACUGGCGAUCUUGAGUCCGGAAGAGGUGAGUGGAAUUCCUGGUGUAGCGGUGAAAUGCGCAGAUAUCAGGAGGAACACCCGUGGCUAAGGCGGCUCUCUAGUACGGUACUGACGCUGAGACGCGAAAGCGUGGGGAGCGAACAGG
Molecule: ribosomal RNA, 253 nt
Filed under: uncultured bacterium
Lineage: Bacteria
Description: partial 16S ribosomal RNA
Rfam family: Bacterial small subunit ribosomal RNA
Source: RNAcentral